UAAGUGUAGAGUACACGAGCGGCGGACGGGUGAGUAACACGUGGGAAUCUACCCCAAACUGAGGGAUAAGCACCGGAAACGGUGUCUAAUACCGCAUAUGGCUUCGGAUUAAGGCUUCGGCGGUUUGGGAAGAGCCCGCGUAAGAUUAGCUAGUUGGUGAGGUAAAGGCUCACCAAGGCGACGAUCUUUAGCUGGUUUGAGAGGAUGAUCAGCCACACUGGAACUGAGACACGGUCCAGACUCCUACGGGAGGCAGCAGUUAGGAAUUUCCACAAUGGGCGCAAGCCUGAUGGAGCAACGCCGCGUGCAGGAUGAAGGUUUUCGGAUUGUAAACUGCUUUAUGUGUGAAGAAUAUGACGGUAACACAUGAAUAAGGAUCGGCUAACUCCGUG
This 392-nucleotide ribosomal RNA is filed under the name uncultured bacterium. Its description in RNAcentral is "bacterial SSU rRNA". It matches the Rfam family "Bacterial small subunit ribosomal RNA", at positions 77 to 507 of the family's 1533-position model. The record is from RNAcentral.